Molecule: ribosomal RNA, 484 nt
Filed under: uncultured bacterium
Lineage: Bacteria
Description: partial 16S ribosomal RNA
Rfam family: Bacterial small subunit ribosomal RNA
Source: RNAcentral
AUUGAACGCUGGCGGCAUGCUUUACACAUGCCAGUCGAACGGCAACACGGGGUUCUUCCUGGCGUCGAGUUGCCGACGGGUGAGUAAGUCAUCCGAACAUGCCCAGUCUUUGAGACUGGGCCGACGACAGCCGACUUAAUACCGCAUAGGAUCUUAUAUUGAAACGGGUGGACCGAUAGUGCUCGCGCGUUUUGAUGUGCCGAUGUGGGAUUAGCUAGUUGGUUUGGUAAAGGCUUACCAAGGCGACGAAGCGUAGCUGGCCUGAGAGGACGACCAGCCACACUGGAACUGAGACACGGUCCAGACUCCUACGGGAGGCAGCAGUAGGGAAUUUUGGACAAUGGGCGAAAGCCUGACCCAGCAAUGCCGCGUGAGGGAAGAAGGCCUUCGGGUUGUAAAACGCUUUUGUUAGGGAAGAAAACAUCUGGGCUAAUCCACCGGCGGGAUGACGGUACCGGAAGAAUAAGCAACGGCUAACUACGUG